RNAcentral lists this ribosomal RNA (240 nucleotides) under uncultured Burkholderia sp. RNAcentral describes it as "partial 16S ribosomal RNA". It matches the Rfam family "Bacterial small subunit ribosomal RNA", at positions 543 to 783 of the family's 1533-position model. The record is from RNAcentral. Lineage: Bacteria; Pseudomonadati; Pseudomonadota; Betaproteobacteria; Burkholderiales; Burkholderiaceae.
UAUCGGAAUUACUGGGCGUAAAGCGUGCGCAGGCGGUUAGUUAAGACAGAUGUGAAAUCCCCGGGCAAACCUGGGAACUGCAUUGGAGACUGGCUAGCUAGAGUAUGGUAGAGGGGGGUAGAAUUCCACGUGUAGCGGUGAAAUGCGUAGAGAUGUGGAGGAAUACCGAUGGCGAAGGCAGCCCCCUGGGCCAAUACUGACGCUCAUGCACGAAAGCAUGGGGAGCAAACAGGAUUAAAC